UGUGUGUGAAUAAUAGUAGACUAUCGUAACAUCAAAAAGACAACUUUACAGGAGGAGCGUUUGAAGUUGCAAAUUUGAACCACGACUUCGUUUUUCAGCCGAUUGUUAUGAAAUUUGGCAUGAGCAACAA
Molecule: long non-coding RNA, 130 nt
Organism: Aricia agestis (brown argus)
Lineage: Eukaryota; Metazoa; Arthropoda; Insecta; Lepidoptera; Lycaenidae
Exons: 3
Source: RefSeq, a predicted model, not a curated record